RNAcentral lists this ribosomal RNA (446 nucleotides) under uncultured bacterium. RNAcentral describes it as "bacterial SSU rRNA". It matches the Rfam family "Bacterial small subunit ribosomal RNA", at positions 217 to 662 of the family's 1533-position model. The record is from RNAcentral.
GGUAUGGGAUGAGCUUGCGUCCGAUUAGCUAGUUGGCGGGGCAACGGCCCACCAAGGCGACGAUCGGUAGCCGGCCUGAGAGGGUGAUCGGCCACAUUGGGACUGAGAUACGGCCCAGACUCCUACGGGAGGCAGCAGUAGGGAAUAUUGCACAAUGGGGGAAACCCUGAUGCAGCAACGCCACGUGUGGGAAGAAGCAUUUCGGUGUGUAAACCACUGUCAUGAGGGAAUAAGGCCCGCCUCCGGACGGGAUUGAAUGUACCUUGAGAGGAAGCACCGGCAAACUUCGUGCCAGCAGCCGCGGUAAUACGAGGGGUGCAAGCGUUGUUCGGAAUUACUGGGCGUAAAGGGAGCGUAGGCGGAGAUUCAAGCGGAUUGUACAAUCCCGGGGCCCAACCCCGGCUCUGCAGUCCGAACUGGAUCUCUUGGAUAGUUCAGGGGCAGGC